This 1769-nucleotide long non-coding RNA is filed under the name Malus domestica (apple). Its description in RNAcentral is "long non-coding RNA (MDOM_LNC019767)". The record is from RNAcentral. Lineage: Eukaryota; Viridiplantae; Streptophyta; Magnoliopsida; Rosales; Rosaceae.
UAAUCUUUGCCCUUUAUAUUUAAACUACAUUAGUUUAACUUUGUGAAAUGUUCGCAAAGUAUCAUCAUAUGAUUGGUUUUAGGGCACAUUUCCAACAGGAUGUUUGGUAAUGAGUGUAGUGGAUGAGUGUUUGGUAAUGAGUGGAUGUAAUGGUUGUAGUGGGUGAGUGUUUGGUAAUGAGUGGAUGUAAUGGGUGUAGUGGAUGGAUGUUUGGUAAUGAGUGGAUGUAAUGGGUGUAGUGGGUGAGUGUUUGGUAAUGAGUGAAUGUAAUGGGUGUAGUGGAUGAGUGUUUGGUAAUGAGUGGAUGUAAUGGGUGUAGUGGAUGGAUGUUUGGGGUUGUAGGUCAACAAACUUGCUCACACAUGCUGAUUUCUAGCCUUCAAAUCUUCAAAAACGUCCAUCCUCAUGUCUCCAUGUUUACACUAUCCAAUCUUGGCCCAAAAAUGCUCCAAAAUGCUUCAAAUAGCACUUUGUUGCUAACUUUGUUAUUUGAACCUACAAACACACGAAAAUAGCUUAAAAUACAUAAUUGACUAAGAAAUAACAACAUAAAUGCAUAAAAACAAGCUAACUAAGUCGCAUAAAUAUGCUCCUAUCAAACUCCCCCACACUUAGCUUUUGCUAGUCCUCGAACAAAACAAAACAAACAAAACAUAACCUAGACCUUCCAACAUUUGCCUCAAGGAUUUUCAAUGAAACAUGACAUGCCAAAGAUCACCACUUACAUAGAUUUAAGCAAUCCUUACCCUCGAGCGUACUUAAUCAUAGUCACCAUUCACUAGCUCACAUUUAAUCAAUUAAAACAACAUUUUGAAUGUAGUAUCAUGCCUUAGAGAAUUUCCUCAAUUCCUUACUAGAUACUCUCUAUUUUCACACACAUUUUCUGACUACACACCCUACACUAGUUCUAUGUGAGAAGAUUGAUGUAAACAUGGAAGACUAGUACCCACAUAUGUUAUAACAAAGAAAGCAAUGUCUGGAGUUAAUAAGCAUGUUUAGAUAUGAUCUCAUGAAUGGUAUGCUACUACUUAGAUGAGAGAACCAGUGACACCAUAUGCUCAUACCAAUUUCGAACUCCACAAAUUGAAACACACAACACUCAAGAUUGAAGUCAAGGGUUGUAACAGGGCUUGGGGGUAAUGGCUAACAAAGAAAGGAUAGGCAUAACAAACGUUCUUAAAGCGAUAGCAAGCAAAGCAAUGAAAUAGACACUUGGAAUUCUCUUUUGAAUGCAUAAUCAACUUUUACAUACAAAGGGAAGAUUCAUGCAACACUUAGGGCCGAAUUCAAUGUUUUGGACCCUUUUUUAACAAACAACACUUUAGAGCUCUUGCUCAUACUCUUUUUUCUUUUCUCUACCCGUGCCUUAUUAAGGACUUUGGCACACACACACACAGGAAUCACUUCCCCCACACUUGUUUUUUUGCAAGAGUUCAACAAAAGCAAAUCUUUCUAAAUUAUGCUUUACUAUGCUUCAAGAACAAGGGUAUGGAUGGUCCUAUUCUAGGCUAGGUGAGGAUAGUGUGGGUAAGAAAGAACAUAGGCUACUGAUGCGAAAAUUACUUAACACACAAAUUAAACCCUCUUUUUGACAAUUGUAGUAUAGAUGUAAGUAGGGUAUCGUUCUAGGCCGGGGAUUAGGAGGGCUUGCUAAUAACCUCUCAAUUAAUUUAAAAAUAUUAAACAAGACUCAAGGACAUAAAAUUAGGCUAAAAACUCUAAUAACUCGAAACACACUUAAAAUGACUCAAAAUAAUGAAAACAAUUAA